CGUCGUUCUCUCCGUGAAAUCACUGAUAGAGGAGAGAUUCACUGAGAUGUAACAAUAAUAAACUUUACAUUAAAUACGAUUAGAAUCUAGCUAUUUUUUUUCUUUUUUUUUUUUUAAAGGACUAUGCGGAGUGUUACAGUAAUAGAAAUAUUUAUUUUCCAAGGAGAAGGGGUUCGUCUUGCGGGAUACUUUCUGGAAAAAUCGAGGGUGGGCCGUGUCGAAGGGGAACGGGGAUGAUGGAGGGACAAAUAGGGGGAAGGGAAAUAUAUUUUUUUUUCAUUUGAAGUUUCAAAGGAUAACAUCACAGCAUUGACAUAUCAACAUCGAAACGAUCAAAGCAUCGCGCUCCUCGAGACUCGUCAGCGACGAAAUUAAUCGUCGUUCAAGUCGAUCAAUCGUGUGUUUCCUAUCUACUCCUUCCGAUUAUUAAUUUCGAAGUUUCUUCUGCCGAAGUUGAAUCGAUUAGAGGUAAGAAUUUUGUUAACCGUCGAGGAACUCUCGAAGGGCGCGCUGCCACGGCCGUAACACUUUUCAUUUUUGCUAUAGAACAAUUUACAACAUCUCGUUUAAUUAAUCACCUCAAUUCCGUCUCCGAAGAACCGCAGCUCGUGCACACUGAACCGCAAAUUCUCUCGUUCUCCUCUUUUCCUCCUUUCUUUUUCUUUUUUUCUUUUUUUUUUGUUCUUUCGUAUUUUCUUUCUCUCUCGUAUAUCGUUUCUGUCUCUCUUAUUUCAUUUUGUAUUUUUUGUACGACGAGCCGACGAUCUCCCUCUCUCCGGUCUGUGUUUUCAUUGUCGAGACAUCGAUCGGUCGAGAAUUGCCGAACUGGUCGGUACACCGUGGUUUUCGGGGCGGAAAGAAAGAAGGACGUGCUAG
Molecule: unclassified non-coding RNA, 876 nt
Filed under: Bombus terrestris (buff-tailed bumblebee)
Lineage: Eukaryota; Metazoa; Arthropoda; Insecta; Hymenoptera; Apidae
Description: misc RNA ENSBTSG00005028956.1
Source: RNAcentral